GAGUUUGAUCCUGGCUCAUGACGAACGCUGGCGGCGUGCCUAAUACAUGCAAGUAGAACGCUGAAGAGAGGAGCUUGCUCUUCUUGGAUGAGUUGCGAACGGGUGAGUAACGCGUAGGUAACCUGCCUUGUAGCGGGGGAUAACUAUUGGAAACGAUAGCUAAUACCGCAUAACAAUGGAUGACCCAUGUCAUUUAUUUGAAAGGGGCAAAUGCUCCACUACAAGAUGGACCUGCGUUGUAUUAGCUAGUAGGCGAGGUAACGGCUCACCUAGGCGACGAUACAUAGCCGACCUGAGAGGGUGAUCGGCCACACUGGGACUGAGACACGGCCCAGACUCCUACGGGAGGCAGCAGUAGGGAAUCUUCGGCAAUGGGGGCAACCCUGACCGAGCAACGCCGCGUGAGUGAAGAAGGUUUUCGGAUCGUAAAGCUCUGUUGUAAGUCAAGAACGAGUGUGAGAGUGGAAAGUUCACACUGUGACGGUAGCUUACCAGAAAGGGACGGCUAACUACGUGCCAGCAGCCGCGGUAAUACGUAGGUCCCGAGCGUUGUCCGGAUUUAUUGGGCGUAAAGCGAGCGCAGGCGGUUUGAUAAGUCUGAAGUUAAAGGCUGUGGCUCAACCAUAGUUCGCUUUGGAAACUGUCAAACUUGAGUGCAGAAGGGGAGAGUGGAAUUCCAUGUGUAGCGGUGAAAUGCGUAGAUAUAUGGAGGAACACCGGUGGCGAAAGCGGCUCUCUGGUCUGUAACUGACGCUGAGGCUCGAAAGCGUGGGGAGCGAACAGGAUUAGAUACCCUGGUAGUCCACGCCGUAAACGAUGAGUGCUAGGUGUUGGAUCCUUUCCGGGAUUCAGUGCCGCAGCUAACGCAUUAAGCACUCCGCCUGGGGAGUACGACCGCAAGGUUGAAACUCAAAGGAAUUGACGGGGGCCCGCACAAGCGGUGGAGCAUGUGGUUUAAUUCGAAGCAACGCGAAGAACCUUACCAGGUCUUGACAUCCCGAUGCUAUUUCUAGAGAUAGAAAGUUACUUCGGUACAUCGGUGACAGGUGGUGCAUGGUUGUCGUCAGCUCGUGUCGUGAGAUGUUGGGUUAAGUCCCGCAACGAGCGCAACCCCUAUUGUUAGUUGCCAUCAUUCAGUUGGGCACUCUAGCGAGACUGCCGGUAAUAAACCGGAGGAAGGUGGGGAUGACGUCAAAUCAUCAUGCCCCUUAUGACCUGGGCUACACACGUGCUACAAUGGUUGGUACAACGAGUUGCGAGUCGGUGACGGCAAGCUAAUCUCUUAAAGCCAAUCUCAGUUCGGAUUGUAGGCUGCAACUCGCCUACAUGAAGUCGGAAUCGCUAGUAAUCGCGGAUCAGCACGCCGCGGUGAAUACGUUCCCGGGCCUUGUACACACCGCCCGUCACACCACGAGAGUUUGUAACACCCGAAGUCGGUGAGGUAACCUUUUGGAGCCAGCCGCCUAAGGUGGGAUAGAUGAUUGGGGUGAAGUCGUAACAAGGUGCCGUAAGGGCG
Molecule: ribosomal RNA, 1516 nt
Filed under: uncultured bacterium
Lineage: Bacteria
Description: bacterial SSU rRNA
Rfam family: Bacterial small subunit ribosomal RNA
Source: RNAcentral